RNAcentral lists this unclassified non-coding RNA (606 nucleotides) under Hevea brasiliensis (rubber tree). The record is from RNAcentral. Lineage: Eukaryota; Viridiplantae; Streptophyta; Magnoliopsida; Malpighiales; Euphorbiaceae.
GGGCAAGGAAGAAUGUAGCAAUAGAUUCAUACCAACUAGAUUGCUCAAUCUUAACAACAAGUGAAAUACAGAAGUCAGUACAUUUAACCAUUACAAAGAUAUCCAGUAAUAGUACAAUACACUCUAGACUUGUAAUAAGAUCUUGUAGUCCCAGAAAAUGCACCAUUUCAUGCCUUGAUGGUCACACUGCACAAGCACAGUCCGGACGGCUUUAUUUCAGAAGUCUGCCACCUGGGGAAGCAUUAGGAUCAUACAACAGUGUACGGUAACCAGGUGCCUCUUCUCGUGAGAACAACAGAAGUUUCCCAUCAAGUAUUCCAAACCGAAAACCAAUACUUGAGCUACCUGUCAAUGGAACUGGCACCAUUUUCCACGAAUUGUCCUCUGGAUUGAAUAUUGCUAGUUUCCGCUGAUUCUUCCACUCCAUACAGAAGAGCUUUUUUUCCAGCACGGCAUGAGCAGUAACCAUGACACAACCAUUCUUGAUCUCACACCAUGAGUUACUCUCAGGAUUGUACACAUCAACAAACUUUGAAUUGCCAAUGGUGAAGCUUGACCGUCCGCCCAUGACAUAAAGCUUCCCCUCAAAGCCACAUGCAAAGCAGC